This 150-nucleotide ribosomal RNA is filed under the name uncultured Aeromonas sp. Its description in RNAcentral is "partial 16S ribosomal RNA". It matches the Rfam family "Bacterial small subunit ribosomal RNA", at positions 340 to 482 of the family's 1533-position model. The record is from RNAcentral. Lineage: Bacteria; Pseudomonadati; Pseudomonadota; Gammaproteobacteria; Aeromonadales; Aeromonadaceae.
UACGGGAGGCAGCAGUGGGGAAUAUUGCACAAUGGGCGCAAGCCUGAUGCAGCCACGCCGCGUGUAUGAAGAAGGCCUUCGGGUUGUAAAGCACUUUCAGCGAGGAGGAAAGGUUGGUAGCUAAUAACUCCCAGCUGUGACGUUACUCGC